GGCUUCCCCAUCUAGCACAGGCCUGCCAGCCUUUCCUUAGCAGCCCCUCCCUGCACCGUCUUGCAGCCUGCAGCAGAAACCACGGACGCAGAGCGAAGUGUGAAGAAGCCAGCUGUCCAGAAGAAGAAGUCUGGCGACGCAUCCUCCCUCCCAGACGCAGGGCUGUCCCCGGGCUCUCAGGUCGACUCUAAAUCCACGUUUAAGAGGCUUUUUCUGCAUAAAACCAAGGAUAAAAAAUACAGCCUGGAGAGCGCGGAGGAGCUGGAGAAUGCAAUGUCCGGGCAGGUGGUGCUGGAAGCCACCAGCAUGAAGAAGGGCCUGGAAGCCCCCUCCGGACAGCAGCACCGCCACGCCGCAGGUGAGAAGCGCACCAAGGAACCAGGAGGCAAAGGGAAGAAGAACCGAAACGUCAAGAUUGGGAAGAUCACGGUGUCGGAGAAGUGGCGGGAAUCGGUGUUCCGCCAGAUCACCAACGCCAACGAGCUCAAGUACCUGGACGAGUUCCUGCUUAACAAGAUAAAUGACCUCUGUUCCCAGAAGACGCCCAUCGAGAGCUUGUUUAUCGAAGCCACGGAGAAGUUCAGGAGCAACAUCAAAACGAUGUACUCCGUCCCGAACGGGAAGAUCCACGUGGGCUACAAGGAUCUGAUGGAGAACUACCAGAUCGUCGUCAGCAACCUGGCCACUGAGCGUGGCCAGAAGGACACCAACCUGGUCCUCAACCUCUUCCAGUCACUGCUAGAUGAGUUCACCCGUGGCUACACCAAGAACGACUUCGAGCCAGUGAAGAGCAAAGCUCAGAAGAAGAAGCGGAAGCAGGAGCGCGCUAGCUGCCGGAGAAGCAGGAGCAGCUGGCUGCCAUCUAUGCCGUCCUGGAGCACCUUCCAGAAGCCAACCACAACUCCCUGGAGAGACUCAUCUUCCACCUCGUCAAGCAAGUGCCUCCCCACCUGCCCUCUGUGGGGUUAGGGUCGCAUU
This 978-nucleotide small RNA is filed under the name Pongo abelii (Sumatran orangutan). Its description in RNAcentral is "retained intron". Lineage: Eukaryota; Metazoa; Chordata; Mammalia; Primates; Hominidae. The record is from RNAcentral.